AAUGCACUUUUCUGUGAAUGUGAGUAAUGAACUAAUUGUCUCCAGUAGAUGCCAAUCUAGUAAUGAUAGACAGGGUAGUCUCUACAAUCUGUAAGUGCCUCUCUAAAAAUAAGCUGAGAGACUUCUCUUGGUAGCAACAGAUAGGCCCUUCUGCUAUUCACCUACACAGUACAAAGAAUUAAGUAGGUUUGGACCUCAAUUAAGGUUUGGACCUUAUCUCUCGCAUGUUGGUAAGAUGUUGGUAACCUAAUGGCCUUGAGAGUUAGAAGGAUGGAAGCUAUCAGAGAGUUUCAAAACAGAAACAGUGAAACACUACUCCUUUCCUAGUGAAUACAUGCUGCUCUUUCCUAUCCCGCUCUUCAGGGUAGUGUUGCGUUCAAAGGAGAAAUGGGAAUUCCAGGGGACCCAGGAAUACCAGGUCUUCCAGGAGACAAAGGACUUCCUGGACCUCCUGGAUUUGGUCCGCAAGGUUCACCUGGUGAAAAGGGCAUCCAAGGUGUAUCAGGUCGUCCGGGACCUCCCGGAGUUCCUGGUCCAAAAGGGGAACCUGGUCAGACUGUUACAGAACCAGGAGUACCUGGCCCCCCUGGUCCUUCAGGCAGAAACGGUGACCCAGGUCUUCCAGGGGAUCCCGGUCAGCCAGGUCAGCGUGGCCUGCCAGGCAUCCCAGGUGCAAAGGGAGAGCCAGGUAUUCCUGGCAUUGGACUUCCAGGUCCACCAGGCCCAAAAGGUAUGUUUGCAGCCAAGUAUUGGCUAAAAGUGGGGACGCUUGGAGAGUUGCACCUCUUCACUUGG
This 795-nucleotide long non-coding RNA is filed under the name Struthio camelus australis. RNAcentral describes it as "lncRNA (ENSSCUG00000018543.1)". The record is from RNAcentral. Lineage: Eukaryota; Metazoa; Chordata; Aves; Struthioniformes; Struthionidae.